Molecule: ribosomal RNA, 449 nt
Filed under: uncultured bacterium
Lineage: Bacteria
Description: bacterial SSU rRNA
Rfam family: Bacterial small subunit ribosomal RNA
Source: RNAcentral
CCCAGACUCCUACGGGAGGCAGCAGUGGGGAAUAUUGGGCAAUGGGCGCAAGCCUGACCCAGCAACGCCGCGUGAAGGAAGAAGGCUUUCGGGUUGUAAACUUCUUUUGACAGGGAAGAGCAGAAGACGGUACCUGUCGAAUAAGCCACGGCUAACUACGUGCCAGCAGCCGCGGUAAUACGUAGGGGGCGAGCGUUAUCCGGAUUCACUGGGUGUAAAGGGAGCGUAGACGGCCGUGCAAGCCAGGAGUGAAAGCCCGGGGCCCAACCCCGGGACUGCUCUUGGAACUGUGCGGCUGGAGUGCGGGAGGGGCAGGCGGAAUUCCUGGUGUAGCGGUGAAAUGCGUAGAUAUCAGGAGGAACACCGGCGGCGAAGGCGGCCUGCUGGACCGCGACUGACGUUGAGGCUCGAAAGCGUGGGGAGCGAACAGGAUUAGAUACCCCCGUAGA